GGAGCUUGCUCCUUUGAAGUUAGCGGCGGACGGGUGAGUAACACGUGGGUAACCUACCUAUAAGACUGGAAUAACUUCGGGAAACCGGAGCUAAUGCCGGAUAACAUUUGGAACCGCAUGGUUCUAAAGUAAAAGAUGGUUUUGCUAUCACUUAUAGAUGGACCCGCGCCGUAUUAGCUAGUUGGUAAGGUAACGGCUUACCAAGGCAACGAUACGUAGCCGACCUGAGAGGGUGAUCGGCCACACUGGAACUGAGACACGGUCCAGACUCCUACGGGAGGCAGCAGUAGGGAAUCUUCCGCAAUGGACGAAAGUCUGACGGAGCAACGCCGCGUGAGUGAUGAAGGUUUUCGGAUCGUAAAACUCUGUUAUUAGGGAAGAACAAAUGUGUAAGUAACUGUGCACAUCUUGACGGUACCUAAUCAGAAAGCCACGGCUAACUACGUGCCAGCAGCCGCGGUAAUACGUAGGUGGCAAGCGUUAUCCGGAAUUAUUGGGCGUAAAGCGCGCGUAGGCGGUUUCUUAAGUCUGAUGUGAAAGCCCACGGCUCAACCGUGGAGGGUCAUUGGAAACUGGGAAACUUGAGUACAGAAGAGGAAAGUGGAAUUCCAUGUGUAGCGGUGAAAUGCGCAGAGAUAUGGAGGAACACCAGUGGCGAAGGCGACUUUCUGGUCUGUAACUGACGCUGAUGUGCGAAAGCGUGNGGAUCAAACAGGAUUAGAUACCCUGGUAGUCCACGCCGUAAACGAUGAGUGCUAAGUGUUAGGGGGUUUCCGCCCCUUAGUGCUGCAGCUAACGCAUUAAGCACUCCGCCCUGGGGAGUA
RNAcentral lists this ribosomal RNA (824 nucleotides) under Staphylococcus sp. 18jirfs_27F. RNAcentral's name for it is "bacterial SSU rRNA". It matches the Rfam family "Bacterial small subunit ribosomal RNA", at positions 75 to 882 of the family's 1533-position model. The record is from RNAcentral. Lineage: Bacteria; Bacillati; Bacillota; Bacilli; Caryophanales; Staphylococcaceae.